RNAcentral lists this small RNA (132 nucleotides) under Escherichia coli. RNAcentral's name for it is "RtT sRNA". It matches the Rfam family "RtT RNA". Rfam says of the family: This family represents a bacterial cis-regulatory element known as RtT RNA. The exact function of RtT is unknown although it is thought that it may be involved in changing the cellular response in relation to amino acid starvation. Lineage: Bacteria; Pseudomonadati; Pseudomonadota; Gammaproteobacteria; Enterobacterales; Enterobacteriaceae. The record is from RNAcentral.
AUUCUGCCCAAGCGGGGAAGGAUGAGAAGCUUCGACCAAGGUUCGACUCGAGCGCCAGCGAGAGAGCGUGGCCGCAGGCAACGACCCGAAGGGCGAAGCGCACAGCGCUGAGUAAUCCUUCCCCCACCACCA